GACAGAGGGGGCAAGCGUUGCUCGGAAUUACUGGGCGUAAAGGGCGCGUAGGCGGAUAGUACAGUCAGGCGUGAAAUUCCUGGGCUCAACCUGGGGGCUGCGUUUGAUACGUAUUGUCUGGAGUUCGGAAGAGGGUCGUGGAAUUCCCAGUGUAGAGGUGAAAUUCGUAGAUAUUGGGAAGAACACCGGUGGCGAAGGCGGCGACCUGGUCCGAUACUGACGCUGAGGCGCGAAAGCGUGGGGAGCAAACAGG
This 253-nucleotide ribosomal RNA is filed under the name uncultured bacterium. RNAcentral's name for it is "partial 16S ribosomal RNA". It matches the Rfam family "Bacterial small subunit ribosomal RNA", at positions 524 to 776 of the family's 1533-position model. The record is from RNAcentral.